Molecule: small nuclear RNA, 107 nt
Organism: Otolemur garnettii (small-eared galago)
Lineage: Eukaryota; Metazoa; Chordata; Mammalia; Primates; Galagidae
Source: Ensembl
GUGCUGUUCUCAGCAGCACAUAUACUGAAAUUGGAACAAUACAGAGAAGAUUAGCAUAGUCUCUGUGCAAGGAUGACACCCAGAUUUGUGAAGCAUUUCAUAUUUUU